CGAAGAUUAAUAAGACAAGGACUCAGCAGCACUUAGCACAGUGCUUGGCUUACAGAGAGUGCUUGAUAAACGGGAGCGAAUAGUGAUAGGAUCAUUGCUUCCUGUUUUGAGUCUUUCAUUCUGCUGAAAGUGGGGAACCUCAGGCCUGAAAAAGCAAGGACUCACUCACCUAAGGUCGUUUCAGGAAUCAGCAGCGGGGGCAGGACAAGAACCGAUGUGAUAAAAUUCCAUAGCCACCACCGCCCUAUUUGGUGCAGAUCCAACUAAACACACCCUCAAUGACUCUGAGACAAGGCCUCGGGGAGCCAUGAAGAUGACGACAUGAUCGCAGCUCAGCAGGAAGCUCGGUGCUGCCGGAAUGUGGGGAGGCCAUCCGUCUCAUUCAGCGGCCCGGCAGGCCUUAUUAUGAUGAUGAAUUUUCAAGUUAUCAGCACAAAUGCAAUCACCAUCAUAGGCCAAGAGAACCCUCUUCAUCACUCACAGCCCAGUCUGGGACAGCCUCAGGAGGAAA
This is a long non-coding RNA of Gorilla gorilla gorilla (western lowland gorilla), 511 nucleotides long. RefSeq lists it as uncharacterized. The record is from RefSeq and is a predicted model, not a curated record. Lineage: Eukaryota; Metazoa; Chordata; Mammalia; Primates; Hominidae. The transcript is spliced from 3 exons.